GCCAAUCUCAGUUCGGAUUGUAGGCUGCAACUCGCCUACAUGAAGUUGGAAUCGCUAGUAAUCGCGAAUCAGAAUGUCGCGGUGAAUACGUUCCCGGGUCUUGUACACACCGCCCGUCACACCACGAGAGUUUACAACACCCGAAGUCAGUGGCCUAACCACAAGGAGGGAGCUGCCUAAGGUGGGGUAGAUGAUUGGGGUGAAGUCGUAACAAGGUACC
RNAcentral lists this ribosomal RNA (220 nucleotides) under uncultured bacterium. RNAcentral's name for it is "partial 16S ribosomal RNA". It matches the Rfam family "Bacterial small subunit ribosomal RNA", at positions 1281 to 1500 of the family's 1533-position model. The record is from RNAcentral.